RNAcentral lists this ribosomal RNA (119 nucleotides) under Pteropus alecto (black flying fox). Lineage: Eukaryota; Metazoa; Chordata; Mammalia; Chiroptera; Pteropodidae. The record is from RNAcentral.
GUCUAUGGCCAUGCUACCCUGAACAAACCCGAUCCUGUCUGAUCUCGGAAACUAAGCAAGGUCGAGCCUGGUUAGAACUUGGAUGGAAGGCCACCUAGGAAGACCAGGUACUGUAGGUG